UUAAACGGCCGCGGUACCCUAACCGUGCAAAGGUAGCAUAAUCAUUUGUCUACUAAUUAUAGACCUGUAUGAAAGGCAAAAUGAGGGUCAAACUGUCUCUUAUAAUAAAUCAAUUAAACUGAUCUACUAGUAAAAAAGCUAGAAUAACAACAUAAGACCAGAAGACCCUGUGAAGCUUAAACUAAACUAUUAAACCACAUAAUAACUACUUUCGGUUGGGGCGACCUUGGAAAAAAAAAGAACUUCCAAGAUCCAGUAUAGCUGAAAAUUGAACCAAGUUACUCCAGGGAUAACAGCGCAAUCUUCUUCAAGAGUCCAUAUCAAAAAGAAGGUUUACGACCUCGAUGUUGGAUCAGGACAUCCUAAUGGUGCAGCCGCUAUUAAGGGUUCGUUUGUUCAACGAUUAAUAGUCCUACGUGAUCUGA
Molecule: ribosomal RNA, 425 nt
Filed under: Bogertophis rosaliae
Lineage: Eukaryota; Metazoa; Chordata; Lepidosauria; Squamata; Colubridae
Description: partial 16S ribosomal RNA
Rfam family: Bacterial large subunit ribosomal RNA
Source: RNAcentral